This 84-nucleotide transfer RNA is filed under the name Candidatus Photodesmus blepharonis. RNAcentral describes it as "Candidatus Photodesmus blepharus tRNA". It matches the Rfam family "tRNA". From Rfam's summary of the family: Transfer RNA (tRNA) molecules are approximately 80 nucleotides in length. Lineage: Bacteria; Pseudomonadati; Pseudomonadota; Gammaproteobacteria; Vibrionales; Vibrionaceae. The record is from Rfam by way of RNAcentral.
GCCUUGGUGGUGGAAUAGGUAGACACAAGGGACUUAAAAUCCCUCGGCGCUUGCGCUGUGCCGGUUCAAGUCCGGCCCGAGGCA